UAGUAAAAUAAGCUAAUAAAGCUAGUGGGUUCAUACCCCAAAUAUGAGUGUAAACUCUUUUACUAG
Molecule: transfer RNA, 66 nt
Filed under: Sypharochiton pelliserpentis
Lineage: Eukaryota; Metazoa; Mollusca; Polyplacophora; Chitonida; Chitonidae
Description: tRNA-Met
Source: RNAcentral